This 322-nucleotide ribosomal RNA is filed under the name uncultured Cercozoa. Its description in RNAcentral is "bacterial SSU rRNA". It matches the Rfam family "Eukaryotic small subunit ribosomal RNA", at positions 637 to 955 of the family's 1831-position model. The record is from RNAcentral. Lineage: Eukaryota; Cercozoa. RNAcentral also lists the same sequence under 1 other name.
GAUUUCUGGCUUGAAGAAUUUGGCCGGCCACGGUUUCGUGUGUUAGUGCUUUGUUCUCUGGCCAUCCUUCCAAUCGCUAUUUACUACUCUUCAUUGAUUGGUAAGUGGUAUUGGAUCUUUUACUUUGAAAAAAUUAGAGUGUUUCAAGCAGGCUUUAUGCUAUGAAUACAUUAGCAUGGAAUAAUAAUUUAGGACUUCGGUUCUAUUUUGUUGGUUUCUAGGACUGAAGUAAUGAUUGAUAGGGAUAGUUGGGGGUGCUAGUAUUCAGCGGCCAGAGGUGAAAUUCUCGGAUUCGCUGAAGACUAACUUAUGCGAAAGCAUU